GUUAAGAAAAAUAUGGCAUCCUCGAAGACUUUUCUUCUUCUUGGCCUUGUGUGUGUUGUUCUCAUCCUCAUCGUCUCCGAGUCGUGCGCUAGCUGAAACUACUACUCAAAUUAAUCCGAAUGGUGCCUAUGAGAGAAGUGGACAUGGACGGCAAGUUGCCGAUGGACGUGGUGGCUACAAUCGUGGAGGGCAAGGUAGCAGUCGACCCAAUUUAAUCAUCGGUGGAGAAAAAGGUGGUGGUAACGUACAUGAGCAAGACCCUGACAGUCGAGGAGGGAAAGGAUAAGGUCGAGACCAUGGCCACUAUGAAAGACCAGGACCUGGAACUGCUGAGAUUGAAACAAAGCAUCAGAUAACAUGUGGUCCUUAGAGUACUACUAUCUUUGUAUGUCAAUAAAAAGGUCAUUUGGUUGAGUUGUCUAAUGAACUCUCAAUCAUAAGCCUGUCUUUAAUUAAGGUUUAUCUAUGUACUCUACAUAAUGAUCAUAGUGUCAAAAUAUCUAGCAAUUCAAGUUUAUUGUUUGUGUGCUGAAUUCCUUUUGAAA
Prunus dulcis (almond) is the source of this 545-nucleotide long non-coding RNA. RefSeq lists it as uncharacterized. The record is from RefSeq and is a predicted model, not a curated record. The transcript is spliced from 2 exons. Lineage: Eukaryota; Viridiplantae; Streptophyta; Magnoliopsida; Rosales; Rosaceae.